This 445-nucleotide ribosomal RNA is filed under the name uncultured bacterium. RNAcentral's name for it is "partial 16S ribosomal RNA". It matches the Rfam family "Bacterial small subunit ribosomal RNA", at positions 354 to 796 of the family's 1533-position model. The record is from RNAcentral.
GUGAGGAAUAUUGCGCAAUGGAGGCAACUCUGACGCAGCCAUGCCGCGUGCAGGAAGAAGGCGCUACGCGUUGUAAACUGCUUUUAACCGGGAAGAAACCCCAGGACGUGUCCUGGGUUGACGGUACCGGAGGAAUAAGCACCGGCUAACUUCGUGCCAGCAGCCGCGGUAAUACGAAGGGUGCAAGCGUUAUCCGGAUUCAUUGGGUUUAAAGGGUGCGUAGGCGGAGCGUUAAGUCAGUGGUGAAAUCCUGCAGCUUAACUGUAGACUUGCCAUUGAUACUGUCGCUCUUGAGUGCGCUUGAAGUGGGCGGAAUGUGCCGUGUAGCGGUGAAAUGCUUAGAUAUGGCACAGAACACCAAUUGCGAAGGCAGCUCACUAAGGCGAUACUGACGCUGAGGCACGAAAGCGUGGGGAUCGAACAGGAUUAGAAACCCCAGUAGUCC